RNAcentral lists this ribosomal RNA (295 nucleotides) under uncultured bacterium. Its description in RNAcentral is "partial 16S ribosomal RNA". It matches the Rfam family "Bacterial small subunit ribosomal RNA", at positions 775 to 1067 of the family's 1533-position model. The record is from RNAcentral.
GGAUUAGAUACCCUGGUAGUCCACGCCCUAAACGAUGAGAACUAGCCGUUGGGGGUAAUUGAAACCUUUAGUGGCGCAGCUAACGCGAUAAGUUCUCCGCCUGGGGAGUACGGCCGCAAGGCUAAAACUCAAAGGAAUUGACGGGGGCCCGCACAAGCGGUGGAGCAUGUGGUUUAAUUCGAUGCAACGCGAAGAACCUUACCUGCCCUUGACAUCCUCGGAACCUCUCAGAGAUGAGAGGGUGCCUUCGGGAACCGAGUGACAGGUGCUGCAUGGCUGUCGUCAGCUCGUGCCG